This 442-nucleotide ribosomal RNA is filed under the name uncultured bacterium. RNAcentral's name for it is "partial 16S ribosomal RNA". It matches the Rfam family "Bacterial small subunit ribosomal RNA", at positions 338 to 795 of the family's 1533-position model. The record is from RNAcentral.
CCUACGGGUGGCAGCAGUAGGGAAUUUUUCACAAUGGGCGAAAGCCUGAUGGAGCAACGCCGCGUGAAGGAUGAAGGCCUUCGGGAUGUAAACUGCUUUUAUAAGCGAGAAAAAUGACGGUAACUUAUGAAUAAGGAUCGGCUAACUACGUGCCAGCAGCCGCGGUCAUACGUAGGAUCCGAGCAUUAUCCGGAGUGACUGGGGGUAAAGAGUUGCGUAGGUGGGAUAAUAAGUAGCUAGUGAAAUCUGGUGGCUCAACCAUUCAGACUAUUAGCUAAACUGUUAAGCUCGAGACCGUUAGGAGUAACUGGAAUUUCUAGUGUAGGAGUGAAAUCCGUAGAUAUUAGAAAGAACACCGAUAGCGUAGGCAGGUUACUGGGACGGUUCUGACGCUAAGGCACGAAAGCGUAGGGAGCAAACGGGAUUAGAUACCCUUGUAGUC